CCAGACUGCAACACCCUUCACCACCUCAACUCCCUGCACCUGCAUUUAACAUGAGGAGAGUUACUCAAGGAACGGCAGUCCCUCCUCACCUCCCUCCACCCCCCGCACCAGCCCUCAACAUGAGGCGAACAGAGGAGCCCUCUUCAAGCCUGGCCUACAGACCAACAUGGCAAGGAGGAAGAACGACCGAUACCAUUCCCUGCUCUGCGGCUGAGUUCCACAUCCUUAGCCUGCUGGAGAACCUUAAACAGCAACAAGACCAGCUUGUGGUAAAGGUGAACUACCUCAGCAGCAGGCUGAACAGCACCCCGGGGCCAGAUGUUGAGAUGCCGGACAAUAUCCAGUUUCCCCUGGAACAAUUCGAGGCAAUGGAAGCAUUUGAAGUGUUUUUAAAG
Esox lucius (northern pike) is the source of this 395-nucleotide long non-coding RNA. The record is from Ensembl. NCBI's taxonomy places the organism in Eukaryota, Metazoa, Chordata, Actinopteri, Esociformes, Esocidae.